UUCUGGGAAAGCUUUCGCGGUAUGGGAUGGGGUCGCGUCCUAUCAGCUUGACGGCGGGGUAACGGCCCACCGUGGCUUCGACGGGUAGCCGGCCUGAGAGGGCGACCGGCCACAUUGGGACUGAGAUACGGCCCAGACUCCUACGGGAGGCAGCAGUGGGGAAUAUUGCACAAUGGGCGCAAGCCUGAUGCAGCGACGCCGCGUGAGGGAUGGAGGCCUUCGGGUUGUAAACCUCUUUUAUCGGGGAGCAAGCGUGAGUGAGUUUACCCGUUGAAUAAGCACCGGCUAACUACGUGCCAGCAGCCGCGGUAAUACGUAGGGUGCAAGCGUUAUCCGGAAUUAUUGGGCGUAAAGGGCUCGUAGGCGGUUCGUCGCGUCCGGUGUGAAAGUCCAUCGCUUAACGGUGGAUCCGCGCCGGGUACGGGCGGGCUUGAGUGCGGUAGGGGAGACUGGAAUUCCCGGUGUAACGGUGGAAUGUGUAGAUAUCGGGAAGAACACCAAUGGCGAAGGCAGGUCUCUGGGCCGUUACUGACGCUGAGGAGCGAAAGCGUGGGGAGCGAACAGGAUAGAUACCCUGGUAGUCCACGCCGUAAACGGUGGAUGCUGGAUGUGGGGCCCGUUCCACGGGUUCCGUGUCGGAGCUAACGCGUUAAGCAUCCCGCCUGGGGAGUACGGCCGCAAGGCUAAAACUCAAAGAAAUUGACGGGGGCCCGCACAAGCGGCGGAGCAUGCGGAUUAAUUCGAUGCAACGCGAAGAACCUUACCUGGGCUUGACAUGUUCCCGACGAUCUCAGAGAUGGGGUUUCCCUUCGGGGCGGGUUCACAGGUGGUGCAUGGUCGUCGUCAGCUCGUGUCGUGAGAUGUUGGGUUAAGUCCCGC
Molecule: ribosomal RNA, 879 nt
Filed under: Bifidobacterium longum subsp. suis
Lineage: Bacteria; Bacillati; Actinomycetota; Actinomycetes; Bifidobacteriales; Bifidobacteriaceae
Description: bacterial SSU rRNA
Rfam family: Bacterial small subunit ribosomal RNA
Source: RNAcentral